AAAAUAGGAUCAUAUAAUAUAGAAUAAAUAAAACAAUUUAAUCAGUACAAUAUAAACAAUUUCCCAACUAAUAAAGUACAGUAAUGGAACAACCAACUAAUCAAAGUAGUUUUAUAAAACGUACCUUGUGCAUUAUGGUUUUACAAGAACCAAAUUAAAAUUAACCCCCGAAUUCCGAACGAGCUGCAUAAAUACUGCUAAGAGCCAACUAAUAACUGUAGCACCAAUUUUAGAAGAUAUUAAUGCAGUGGCUACAUACCACCCGCGCCGGAAAAUUGCUGGUUAUUAACAAAAAUUAUAAAUUAAGACAUGUAUAUACAUACAGUGUAAUACCAUCGAGGAUAAGCCCGAUGAUAUAAACAAUUUCAUAUAAUAUUAAAUAAAAUAUAGGCCUAAAAUCAGCCAUAUAAACCACUUCACCGCACACUAAAAAAGUCAAUAUAUAAAAUUUUAAUGUAAAAUAUAGUUAAUAACUUAAUAUAAAAAUAACCAAUUAAUCUUAUUUUGUAAAAAUUAGUAUUCAUAAAUAAAAUAAAUUUUUUUUCAAGAAAAACAAACAU
This 560-nucleotide ribosomal RNA is filed under the name Microchaetus vernoni. Its description in RNAcentral is "partial 16S ribosomal RNA". The record is from RNAcentral. Lineage: Eukaryota; Metazoa; Annelida; Clitellata; Crassiclitellata; Microchaetidae.